ACUCCUGUGCUUUGGGCAGGUCUUCCACCCGCCCUCCUCCUGUCUCCCACAGGGUGAACCUGAGAAGGUUUGAUGAUGCUCGAAGUCAACGCAGGAGGGACCCUGAGAUUAGAAUAAAACUGGGCCUCAGGGGCAUUUGGGUGGUCAUAGAGUUUCUGGCUGGUUUGGAGACAGCCUCCUCUCGGGGACCUCAUGCAGAAGAGGAUGCUUCCGAAAAGGAGGGCCAAGCCCCUCUUGCUGGCCCUCCCCAGCACAUGCCUUCGGGACCUGGCCCGGAGCUGACGUCGGGCACAGCGGUUUCCAGCUGAGUGGGAGGACCUGUGGGAUCUCGAAGGUCCGUAUUUACCACACCACGUGCGGGACUGUUCCCAGAAACUUCCCACGGCUCCCGAGGGUCCUCUCUCCUUGUUCCAGCACGUCACAGACCAGAACACACGGCGCUCAGAGGAGGAGCAACACGACACCAAGGAAGGAAAAGAACGUGCCACCGCCAAACCGAGCCAGGGUCACGCGACGCAGCGCUUUGUCUCAGGAAACCUGUGUUUCUGUUGCUCACACUCACACUCGCACACGCACACAGAAAUGCGCUUCACUGUGUCGUGGACCAAGAAAGCUGAACAGCUCUGCGCUAGUGUGCUCUGAGAGUAAGGAGGGUUUUGGGGGACAGAGCGGCGCCGGCCUCCUGGCUGGGCUGUCACUAGAGAGCAGAGCAACGAGCCCCAUGGGUUUUCCUCUCCUGGGCAUGCCCUCUCUGUACUCUGGGCUCAGAAAUGUGCCCAGAGUAGAAAGACUGAGAACCACGUCCUUUACCAGCGGGGACAGGGGCAGAGCAGUUCCUGACCGCCACCUGCCAUCGCCCCAGCCCUCUGACCAGCAGGCACUCUGCUGUGGCCCACGGGGCAGCUUGCUCCUGCCAACCCCGGAAGCACCAGGCCCCUCCAGACCAGGACAGCAGUUACCCUCUGGGGCCACUGCCCACCCCAGAUCCUCUCUGAGUGGCACGUCAGCGUCUAUGCCCACCUGGCCCAGACCUGUGUGGCCUGUGUCCUGCCGCCCAAGCCCAGGACGCAGGCAGGCAUGGGACACCCAGCGGGAAGGGGUCUCAGAGUCCUCCAUAUUCCUCUAUUACUGGUGGGGGAGUACAGGCCCAGGGGCUUCGAGUGAGCCGCCCAAAGCCACGGCAGCCAGAUCAGACCCUGGUCUCGCCACGCCUGGCCCAGUCCUGCUGCGGCCUGUGUCCUGCCGCCCAAGCCCAGGACACAGGCAGGCAUGGGACGCUCAGUGGGAAGGGGUCCCAGAGUCCUCCAUAUUCCUCUAUGACAGGUGGGGAGUACAGGCCCAGGGGGUUCGAGUGAGCUGCCCAAAGCCACGGCAGCCAGAUCAGACCCGGGUCUCGCCGCGCCGGCCGAGGUCUCGUCAGGCCAGGCUGUCUCUGUGGAUUUGCUGUUCCAGCCGUCUACGGAGUGAAGAGGACACUGUCCGGUGGCUGUGACCUUGCAGGCCUAAAGCACCGGCUCUUCGGGUUGUGCAGAAAGGACACACGCCGUGACGUUUCCGGAGGCUCGGGGCUUCCCAGCGCUGUCAGCCCGACUCUGUGCCUGGUCCCCUCUCCGGAAGCAGGGACCCCUGUGCUCAGUUCCCAGACUACCGGAGGCCUUGCCAGACAGAAGACACUGCUGAGCUGGGGGACUACGAGGACGCAGCUCCAUGACCCCACUCUGCCAGGGGACACACCCAAGCUGCCUGGUGCCCCCGAAGUUGCCCCCACACCUGGCCCCAACACUGCUAUGGGGUACUUGUGGGCAGUGCCUGGGCGCUGCUCCAGCCCAGCGGUCUAAGACAAACACCCGUAUGUCCCUCACUGGAAUCUCGCAAGCCGCACGGCGGUGACAAUGCACGAUCGCCAUUAUUACCGGGCAGAUGGCAGAUCCUCCUGAAGCAGACAUUAAGCAGUAAAACGCUGCCACAAACCUUGCCCAUGAUGUCAAAUCACAACAAAAACCUGAGUCUGCUUUGAUUCUCUCCUGCACUCUCCCUACCUCCUGCUCUGCUGGAUGAGAGGUGUCGGGAGGGCUGGAGGAGGGGUCGUGAGUUGAGGACACUCAGGCCAGCCCACGUGGCCCUCAGGAGAACCACAGUGGGAGACCAGGCAGACCUUGUCCACAUACGAUGGGCAGGGCGGAGAGAGCGGGCCUGACCAUCCCGAGGACAGGGACUGGAGCUGCAGGGACCUGCGGGAACCGAUGGCACGGACGCCCUCUCGCCUGGCUGCCUGCGCAUCUUCAGAAGGAAGACUUGGAUCCCAGCAGAAGUCGUAGCUGCUGGCACCACUGGGCGUGCUCUGCAGGCUCUGUUCCCUGAGGGGGACCUGCUAUUCAUCCAGCCUAGGUCUCCAGCUGGCCCUGUCACCUGUCUUCACAAUAACCCUGAGCGGCAGGUGUGCUGUCUCCAUUUUUAGAGGAAAAAUCAGACUCAAGAAAACAAAAUUUGUCCAGGGUCCCCAGCUGGUGAGCAGUAGAACACACUCCCCCAGGUCGAGAGCCAGAGGACUCAGGUUAGGAGAGAAAGGCUAAAUAAACGUAGAAAAUAAAUAAAACUCUGCAGAGUGGCCACUAGCACAUUGCCCUGAAAUGCUGGAAGCCACGUGGCCACAACGUGGAGCCUGAGCCCACCCGAAACCCAUCAGCAAGUGCGCUCGCCAGAGAUGCCAACGGGCAGAGGGGUGGGGAGGGGACCGCAGCCUGACCAGACCGGGCCGGGGUCUGCCCGCCAUGCUCACGCUCUUGCCCUCACUCAUGAACAUGUAUGGUAAUAUCUACACGCCAAUAUACAGUAUAUUCUG
Long non-coding RNA from Tupaia belangeri chinensis (Chinese tree shrew), 2842 nucleotides. RefSeq lists it as uncharacterized. The transcript is spliced from 3 exons. The record is from RefSeq and is a predicted model, not a curated record. NCBI's taxonomy places the organism in Eukaryota, Metazoa, Chordata, Mammalia, Scandentia, Tupaiidae.